GCCAGGAGUGGUGGCACUCACCUGUAGUCCCUACUACUUGGGAAGCUGAAGUGGGAAGAUUGCUUGAGCCCAGGAGUUCUGGGUUAUGAUGACUGAGUGUCUGCACUAAGCUUGGCAUCAAUAUGGUGACCUCUUGACCUCUUGGGAGUGGGGGACCACCAGGUUACCUAAGAAGAGGUGAAUCAGCCCAGGUCGGAAACCAAGCAGGUCAAAACUCAUGGGCUGAUCAGUAGUAAGGUCACCCCUGUGAAAAGCCAAUGUAAUCCAGCCUGAGCAACACAGUGAGACCCU
This 291-nucleotide signal recognition particle RNA is filed under the name Mandrillus leucophaeus (drill). Its description in RNAcentral is "Metazoan signal recognition particle RNA (ENSMLEG00000007931.1)". It matches the Rfam family "Metazoan signal recognition particle RNA". From Rfam's summary of the family: The signal recognition particle (SRP) is a universally conserved ribonucleoprotein. Lineage: Eukaryota; Metazoa; Chordata; Mammalia; Primates; Cercopithecidae. The record is from Rfam by way of RNAcentral.